Molecule: unclassified non-coding RNA, 785 nt
Filed under: Hevea brasiliensis (rubber tree)
Lineage: Eukaryota; Viridiplantae; Streptophyta; Magnoliopsida; Malpighiales; Euphorbiaceae
Source: RNAcentral
UUCACAACAUUAUUUAAUCAGGUAUGAGAAUUUCAAAUCAUGUACAAAUUGAAAUUGUAAGCAAUGUAUGAACAAAAAAUGGAGCUAGUAUAAACGGUAAUAAUCCUCAUAUUUGACACAAGACCAAUUACAAACAAAUGUAUUCAAAUAGAUGACCCAGAGAAAGAGACCAUAAGUGUUCAACAGAUUGGGAACAAAAUCAUCAAGCCUGAGCAAGCUUCUUCACCACUGUAGCCAUAUAUUUGCCCUGAUGUUCUGCAAGUGCCAGCUCCGAUUCACUUGGCUCUCUCAAGCCAUCACCAGCAUAAACACCAGCACCAUAUGGAGAACCGCCUCGUAUAGAAUCCAUCUUAAACAUACCAGCUCCAAAGGUGUAACCAACAGGAACAUAUAGCAUUCCAUGGUGAGCCAACUGGGUAAUUGCUGUCCAUGCUGUUGUUUCUUGGCCGCCACCUUGUGUCCCGGUACUCACGAAGAAUCCAGCAGGCCUUCCAGCAAGCUUCUGCUCUUUCCACAAAUGCCCGGUAGAGUCAAAGAACGNNNAGUGCGGCCAUGCACCCGUACCUCGUCGGAAACCCGAACAAAACCCCAUCGGCAUCCGUCAAUUCCGCGGCCGUUAUCUCCGGAACCUCAGGGUCCUUCGGUGGUGCCUUCAUGUGUUCCAACACAUCAGCCGGUAAGGUCUCCGGAACCCGAUACAAAACAGCCUGCACUCCUUCUACUCCGUCGACUCCCUUCUUCAUCCGCCUGGCCAACCCCUCCACGUGACCGUACAUCGAGUAAAA